RNAcentral lists this small RNA (28 nucleotides) under Bombyx mori (domestic silkworm). RNAcentral's name for it is "ovarian small RNA-16177". The record is from RNAcentral. Lineage: Eukaryota; Metazoa; Arthropoda; Insecta; Lepidoptera; Bombycidae.
GAUGUUGGCUCUAUUGUUUGACUAUGUU